RNAcentral lists this ribosomal RNA (511 nucleotides) under uncultured bacterium. RNAcentral's name for it is "bacterial SSU rRNA". It matches the Rfam family "Bacterial small subunit ribosomal RNA", at positions 11 to 518 of the family's 1533-position model. The record is from RNAcentral.
GUUUGAUCCUGGCUCAGGAUGAACGCUAGCGGCAGGCCUAAUACAUGCAAGUCGAGGGGUAACAGGAAUAGCAAUAUUUGCUGACGACCGGCGCACGGGUGCGUAACACGUAUGUAAUCUGCCCAUAUCAGGGGGAUAGCCCGGAGAAAUCCGGAUUAAUACCCCAUAAUAGUUGAAGCGGCAUCGCUUUGAUUUGAAAACUACGGUGGAUAUGGAUGAACAUGCGACUGAUUAGUUUGUUGGUGAGGUAACGGCUCACCAAGACUACGAUCAGUAGGGGUACUGAGAGGUUAAACCCCCACACUGGUACUGAGACACGGACCAGACUCCUACGGGAGGCAGCAGUAAGGAAUAUUGGACAAUGGGCGAGAGCCUGAUCCAGCCAUGCCGCGUGCAGGAAGAAGGCCCUAUGGGUCGUAAACUGCUUUUGAACGAGAGAAAACCCGGGUACGUGUACCCGGCUGAUAGUAUCGUUAGAAUAAGCAUCGGCUAACUUCGUGCCAGCAGCCGC